Molecule: ribosomal RNA, 253 nt
Filed under: uncultured bacterium
Lineage: Bacteria
Description: partial 16S ribosomal RNA
Rfam family: Bacterial small subunit ribosomal RNA
Source: RNAcentral
UACGUAGGGUGCGAGCGUUGUCCGGAAUUAUUGGGCGUAAAGGGCUCGUAGGCGGUUUGUCGCGUCGGGAGUGAAAACACACAGCUUAACUGUGUGCUUGCUUCCGAUACGGGCAGACUAGAGGUAUGCAGGGGAGAACGGAAUUCCUGGUGUAGCGGUGAAAUGCGCAGAUAUCUGGAGGAACACCGGUGGCGAAGGCGGCAUCCUGGACCGAUACUGACGCUGAGGAGCGAAAGCCAGGGGAGCAAACGGG